Molecule: small RNA, 1330 nt
Filed under: Oryza sativa Japonica Group (Japanese rice)
Lineage: Eukaryota; Viridiplantae; Streptophyta; Magnoliopsida; Poales; Poaceae
Description: sRNA Os12g0163550
Source: RNAcentral
ACCAUCUUACAAGUCAGCCUUGAUUGGUUAAAAAUAUGUCAUGCAUGAUUGCCACUGCCUUUUUGCUUGAGUUCAAGCUCUAACUCUUUGUGCCUUACCUCCAGCUCCAAGCGCUUAUUCUCAAGCCUCAUUUUUUCAUUCUCUAACCUCAUCUGUUCCAGUUCUCUAUCCUUAUUUUUACUGAAGCGCUCCCAUUUGAGCCGUUGUUUUGCAAGAUAGACUGCCUGGACUUCAAUCUGCAACCUUUGUUCCUCAAGAUCUGCAGAUUGUGUAGCCAAAUCCUUUUGCGCCAAAGCCAAGUUGGUUCCAUCAGGAAAUGCUUUGUUGAUAUCCAGUGAUAUGCCAUGGGAAUCAGACCUCCUGCUACAUCCAUGUGAGCUGGAAGAGUUGCCAAAACCCACAUCCUCCUGAUCUGUCAUAAGCCUCAAUCUUUUAUGCAUGGGCAGGGCACUCUUAUCACCUUGUAAUGUGUAAUUUUCCUCAUCAUUCUCCUCCUCGGAAUCAGAGUCUACACUUUGAUCAUCUUCAUCGGCAUCUCCGCUUGUUCCCCUCCUCAGAUCAUGCUCAUCUUUACAUCUAAGGGCAAGCUGCAGUGAACGCUGAAGGGCAGGAUCUUCAGGCAAACUCACUCGAUUGUUAUUAUGGUAGGAGCACAUCUCCUCGUAGAACAAGUGCUUUGAACUCAGUAUCUUCCUCGCAUCAUCUUUCAUCUUGUCAGACAGAUUACUCAUGCAAUCCAGCAGAGCAUGAUUCUCCACAAUCUUGCAAGCUGUACCCCGGCCAAGGAUAUCUGUAAGUCUUUUGUAUCUCUUAUUGAGAUCAUUGAAUUUAUCUUCACAUUGCUGCGGUGAUACACUGCAGCCUCGCUCACCCAUGACCUUUGAUAUUGCCUUCCACUUGCCCUUUUUCUGCAUUAUUGCAGAGUUUCUCUUCCCAGCUCCUGAAUCAGCUCCUGGAUCCUCCCCAGUGUAAGAUACUGCAGUAAUUAAAAGCUUGACCAUUGAAUCAGUCCACUUCAUCCGCUGCCAUGCAGCGCCCUUCUUUCCCUUGCCGCUCUGGCUAUCAGUGGCAUCCUCGUUGACACCAUGUUCCUCAUCAUCACUCAUGCCGUUCUUGGCGUGUUGACGAUGGUGAUGGUGGUGGUGGUGGUCAACCUUUCCAAGCUCUCCGAAUUGAAAUUCUGACAAGUGAUCAGAAUCUGUAGACUGGUUUACAUGCAUCGAUAAAUUGCCAGGCAUCUGAGUAUGGUCAAAGCCCUGCUUUCCAGGAUUUGGAGCAUGCAUUUGCCCAGAGUUAGAACGCAUCAAGCUUCCAGAGGGUAGGUUGUUGC